RNAcentral lists this transfer RNA (76 nucleotides) under Candidatus Fermentithermobacillaceae bacterium. RNAcentral's name for it is "tRNA-Glu". It matches the Rfam family "tRNA". From Rfam's summary of the family: Transfer RNA (tRNA) molecules are approximately 80 nucleotides in length. Their secondary structure includes four short double-helical elements and three loops (D, anti-codon, and T loops). Lineage: Bacteria; Bacillati; Bacillota; Candidatus Fermentithermobacillia; Candidatus Fermentithermobacillales; Candidatus Fermentithermobacillaceae. The record is from RNAcentral.
GGCCCUAUCGUCUAGCGGCCCAGGACACCGCCCUCUCAAGGCGGAGACACGGGUUCGAAUCCCGUUGGGGCCACCA